Molecule: ribosomal RNA, 274 nt
Filed under: uncultured bacterium
Lineage: Bacteria
Description: partial 16S ribosomal RNA
Rfam family: Bacterial small subunit ribosomal RNA
Source: RNAcentral
AUACGGAGGGUGCAAGCGUUAUUCGGAAUCACUGGGCGUAAAGGACGCGUAGGCGGGUUGGCAAGUCAGAUGUGAAAUCCUACAGCUUAACUGUAGAACUGCAUUUGAAACUGCUAACCUAGAGUAUGUGAGGGGGAGAUGGAAUUAGUGGUGUAGGGGUAAAAUCCGUAGAUAUCACUAGGAAUACCGAAAGCGAAGGCGAUCUCCUGGAACAUAACUGACGCUAAGGCGUGAAAGCGUGGGGAGCAAACAGAAUUAGAAACCCUAGUAGUCC